UACGUAGGGGGCAAGCGUUGUCCGGAUUUAUUGGGCGUAAAGAGCGUGUAGGCGGCUAGGUAGGUCCGUUGUGAAAACUCGAGGCUCAACCUCGAGACGCCGGUGGAAACCAUCUAGCUAGAGUCCGGAAGAGGAGAGUGGAAUUCCUGGUGUAGCGGUGAAAUGCGCAGAUAUCAGGAAGAACACCCGUAGCGAAGGCGGCUCUCUGGGCCAACACUGACGCUGAGACGCGAAAGCUAGGGGAGCAAACGGG
This 253-nucleotide ribosomal RNA is filed under the name uncultured bacterium. RNAcentral describes it as "partial 16S ribosomal RNA". It matches the Rfam family "Bacterial small subunit ribosomal RNA", at positions 524 to 776 of the family's 1533-position model. The record is from RNAcentral.